GUUGAGAUAGCUCAGUUGGUAGAGCCUAGGACUGAAAAUCCUCGCGCCGCCGGUUCAAAUCCGGUUCUCAACA
RNAcentral lists this transfer RNA (73 nucleotides) under Epipogium roseum. RNAcentral describes it as "tRNA-Phe". It matches the Rfam family "tRNA". Rfam says of the family: Transfer RNA (tRNA) molecules are approximately 80 nucleotides in length. Their secondary structure includes four short double-helical elements and three loops (D, anti-codon, and T loops). Lineage: Eukaryota; Viridiplantae; Streptophyta; Magnoliopsida; Asparagales; Orchidaceae. The record is from RNAcentral.